RNAcentral lists this transfer RNA (83 nucleotides) under Microcaldota archaeon. Its description in RNAcentral is "tRNA-Ser". It matches the Rfam family "tRNA". From Rfam's summary of the family: Transfer RNA (tRNA) molecules are approximately 80 nucleotides in length. Lineage: Archaea; Nanobdellati; Microcaldota. The record is from RNAcentral.
GCCGGAGUGGCAGAGUGGUUAUCGCGCUAGUCUCGAAAACUAGUGUCCGCAAGGACUCGGGAGUUCGAAUCUCUCCUCCGGCG